Molecule: transfer RNA, 72 nt
Filed under: Candidatus Microgenomates bacterium
Lineage: Bacteria; Candidatus Microgenomatota
Description: tRNA-Thr
Rfam family: tRNA
About the family: Transfer RNA (tRNA) molecules are approximately 80 nucleotides in length. Their secondary structure includes four short double-helical elements and three loops (D, anti-codon, and T loops).
Source: RNAcentral
GCCGAUGUAGUUUAGCGGUAAAACGUCGCCAUGGUAAGGCGAAGACCUCGGGUUCGAUUCCCGACAUCGGCU